This 453-nucleotide ribosomal RNA is filed under the name uncultured organism. RNAcentral describes it as "partial 16S ribosomal RNA". It matches the Rfam family "Bacterial small subunit ribosomal RNA", at positions 330 to 799 of the family's 1533-position model. The record is from RNAcentral.
CGUACACUCCUACGGGAGGCAGCAGUGGGGAAUAUUGGACAAUGGGCGCAAGCCUGAUCCAGCCAUGCCGCGUGAGUGAUGAAGGCCCUAGGGUUGUAAAGCUCUUUCACCGGUGAAGAUAAUGACGGUAACCGGAGAAGAAGCCCCGGCUAACUUCGUGCCAGCAGCCGCGGUAAUACGAAGGGGGCUAGCGUUGUUCGGAUUUACUGGGCGUAAAGCGCACGUAGGCGGACUAUUAAGUCAGGGGUGAAAUCCCGGGGCUCAACCCCGGAACUGCCUUUGAUACUGGUAGUCUUGAGUUCGAGAGAGGUGAGUGGAAUUCCGAGUGUAGAGGUGAAAUUCGUAGAUAUUCGGAGGAACACCAGUGGCGAAGGCGGCUCACUGGCUCGAUACUGACGCUGAGGUGCGAAAGCGUGGGGAGCAAACAGGAUUAGAUACCCUAGUAGUCCCAUG